GGUGCGCGCGGCGCUUGCAUGCCGCGUGUUUUAAAUUGACUGACGAGUUGACUGCUUGAUGACGUGACUUCGAGAUUUCAAAUAAUCUGUUAGACUGCGACACCGAGGCAACUAUGUGAAAGCGCAAAAACAUCGCCAGGAAGGCAGAGGACACGUCAGAUCUGGUACCGGAAGAUGAUGCUGUGUAGAAGCGAAAGAGACGUCUUCCCAGAGAUUUAGCAAAUCUUCAAGUGAUUCCGGAAGUGACGCUGAUCUUGAAUCGGUUCGGACCCAAGAAAACAACAUGUACGCGGAGGAACGACUAAGGCUGUGGCAGCGGAGAUACCAAUGCCGAAACUGAAUGCAAAGUCCAAGUCCACAUCGCAUUUUUCAGUUCCAACCCACAACUCCAGCAAGGGCUCGGGCUUCGGAAAGCAAUUGUCAAGUGCAGGUACUGUGUACGCUGCAGAGGCUGGAGGAAGGGCAGCAGCAUCUGACGCAGUUGGUACAAAAACUGCUUUUGUCUAAAUCGGGAGCGGCCGUUGAUGUGGAAGACCUGAGGGAGCCGUUUACCGAACCAGUGAACACCAAAUUUUCAUUCAAGGUAGAUUAAGAUACCUUCAUUCAGGGGCAAUGCAAAAAUCCUAAAACUCAUAUUGAAACCAAAUUUGACCAUUUCAGCUAAUAAUGGAGAAACUUUAUCAGCGACAUAACAGUUUUGUUGGUGCAUCUUUUUGGAUUGAAUUGCCAACAUCUUGUUGAGAAUGCAAGACAAAGUUGUAUAGGUCUGUAAAUGUACUACUUUUUGUAAGGAUGCUGAAACCAAUGUGUGUGCUGCCAAACUCUCGACACUGUUUAUUUAUAACCUUGUCUUCUAUAUUCAUAGACCCUUAAAUUUGAGUAUUCAUAUUUGCCUGUUAAUAAUUCAUAUCAACUCAUUUCUAUCAGUUUAUUGUAAAUAGCUUUUGGUAGAUUGUUCAUGUGUUUUGUGUUGAUUUUAUAUUUGAAGUAAGAUGCAAGGUCCAAUGCAAGGCUUCUGGGAAAUCUUGACCUGCCCACUAAAUCUUUGGUCGAUCAAAAGGACAAUUUUUUUACACGGAUUUAAGGGGAAAUCUACCCUAGAAAUUUCACUGCUUCAAUCAAAGGAGACAAAUUUGAACAAAAUUAAAAAUAAGAAAUGGGCAAACUCAGUAAGGAAAACAAAUUAAGGAAACUACUCUUUGUUUACAUUUUCUAGUAAAUUACUCUCGGCUAUUCAAUUUGACAAUGCUGAUGACAUCUUGAGUAGCUCUAAAUUCACUUUGUACACAAAAUUUCACAUUUUCUAACCCCCAUAGUCAAAGCAUGUUGUGUAGAAAGCUAUUCGUCAUCAGUAAUCUGAACAUACUCUGAUUAAAAGCUGUGGAAAUGUGUAACUUUAAGGAAAAUUU
Long non-coding RNA from Strongylocentrotus purpuratus (purple sea urchin), 1409 nucleotides. RefSeq lists it as uncharacterized. The record is from RefSeq and is a predicted model, not a curated record. The transcript is spliced from 4 exons. Lineage: Eukaryota; Metazoa; Echinodermata; Echinoidea; Camarodonta; Strongylocentrotidae.